AGGGCUGUAGAUUAGUGGUAGAGUACAUGCUUUGCAUACAAAAGGUCCCAGGUUCAAUCCUUGGUAGGACUA
Non-coding RNA from Podarcis lilfordi (Lilford's wall lizard), 72 nucleotides. Lineage: Eukaryota; Metazoa; Chordata; Lepidosauria; Squamata; Lacertidae. The record is from the annotation of a GenBank genome assembly.